AGACUUUGAUCAUGGCUCAGGACGAACGCUGGCGGCGUGCCUAAUACAUGCAAGUCGAGCGAGCAGAACCAGCAGAUUUACUUCGGUAAUGACGCUGGGGACGCGAGCGGCGGAUGGGUGAGUAACACGUGGGGAACCUGCCCCAUAGUCUGGGAUACCACUUGGAAACAGGUGCUAAUACCGGAUAAGAAAGCAGAUCGCAUGAUCAGCUUAUAAAAGGCGGCGUAAGCUGUCGCUAUGGGAUGGCCCCGCGGUGCAUUAGCUAGUUGGUAAGGUAACGGCUUACCAAGGCGAUGAUGCAUAGCCGAGUUGAGAGACUGAUCGGCCACAUUGGGACUGAGACACGGCCCAAACUCCUACGGGAGGCAGCAGUAGGGAAUCUUCCACAAUGGACGCAAGUCUGAUGGAGCAACGCCGCGUGAGUGAAGAAGGUUUUCGGAUCGUAAAGCUCUGUUGUUGGUGAAGAAGGAUAGAGGUAGUAACUGGCCUUUAUUUGACGGUAAUCAACCAGAAAGUCACGGCUAACUACGUGCCAGCAGCCGCGGUAAUACGUAGGUGGCAAGCGUUGUCCGGAUUUAUUGGGCGUAAAGCGAGCGCAGGCGGAANAAUAAGUCUGAUGUGAAAGCCCUCGGCUUAACCGAGGAACUGCAUCGGAAACUGUUUUUCUUGAGUGCAGAAGAGGAGAGUGGAACUCCAUGUGUAGCGGUGGAAUGCGUAGAUAUAUGGAAGAACACCAGUGGCGAAGGCGGCUCUCUGGUCUGCAACUGACGCUGAGGCUCGAAAGCAUGGGUAGCGAACAGGAUUAGAUACCCUGGUAGUCCAUGCCGUAAACGAUGAGUGCUAAGUGUUGGGAGGUUUCCGCCUCUCAGUGCUGCAGCUAACGCAUUAAGCACUCCGCCUGGGGAGUACGACCGCAAGGUUGAAACUCAAAGGAAUUGACGGGGGCCCGCACAAGCGGUGGAGCAUGUGGUUUAAUUCGAAGCAACGCGAAGAACCUUACCAGGUCUUGACAUCUAGUGCCAUCCUAAGAGAUUAGGAGUUCCCUUCGGGGACGCUAAGACAGGUGGUGCAUGGCUGUCGUCAGCUCGUGUCGUGAGAUGUUGGGUUAAGUCCCGCAACGAGCGCAACCCUUGUUAUUAGUUGCCAGCAUUAAGUUGGGCACUCUAAUGAGACUGCCGGUGACAAACCGGAGGAAGGUGGGGAUGACGUCAAGUCAUCAUGCCCCUUAUGACCUGGGCUACACACGUGCUACAAUGGGCAGUACAACGAGAAGCGAGCCUGCGAAGGCAAGCGAAUCUCUGAAAGCUGUUCUCAGUUCGGACUGCAGUCUGCAACUCGACUGCACGAAGCUGGAAUCGCUAGUAAUCGCGGAUCAGCACGCCGCGGUGAAUACGUUCCCGGGCCUUGUACACACCGCCCGUCACACCAUGGAAGUCUGCAAUGCCCAAAGCCGGUGGCCUAACCUUCGGGAAGGAGCCGUCUAAGGCAGGGCAGAUGACUGGGGUGAAGUCGUAACAAGCUAGCCGUA
Molecule: ribosomal RNA, 1528 nt
Filed under: Lactobacillus gallinarum
Lineage: Bacteria; Bacillati; Bacillota; Bacilli; Lactobacillales; Lactobacillaceae
Description: bacterial SSU rRNA
Rfam family: Bacterial small subunit ribosomal RNA
Source: RNAcentral